Molecule: ribosomal RNA, 468 nt
Filed under: uncultured bacterium
Lineage: Bacteria
Description: partial 16S ribosomal RNA
Rfam family: Bacterial small subunit ribosomal RNA
Source: RNAcentral
GACGAACGCUGGCGGCGUGCUUAACACAUGCAAGUCGAACGGAAAGGCCCUGCUUUUGUGGGGUGCUCGAGUGGCGAACGGGUGAGUAACACGUGAGUAACCUGCCCUUGACUUUGGGAUAACUUCAGGAAACUGGGGCUAAUACCGGAUAGGAGCUCCUGCUGCAUGGUGGGGGUUGGAAAGUUUCGGCGGUUGGGGAUGGACUCGCGGCUUAUCAGCUUGUUGGUGGGGUAGUGGCUUACCAAGGCUUUGACGGGUAGCCGGCCUGAGAGGGUGACCGGCCAAAUUGGGACUGAUAUACGGCCCAGACUCCUACGGGGGGCAGCAGUGGGGAAUAUUGCACAAUGGGCGGAAGCCUGAUGCAGCAACGCCGCGUGCGGGAUGACGGCCUUCGGGUUGUAAACCGCUUUCGCCUGUGACGAAGCGUGAGUGACGGUAAUGGGUAAAGAAGCACCGGCUAACUACGUG